Molecule: long non-coding RNA, 1896 nt
Organism: Ctenopharyngodon idella (grass carp)
Lineage: Eukaryota; Metazoa; Chordata; Actinopteri; Cypriniformes; Xenocyprididae
Exons: 5
Source: RefSeq, a predicted model, not a curated record
GUUAAUUACCUUAAGGUCGCUUUGAGGAACUUGAAGAACAAGUCUGGAUGCUCCCAAAAUAGAAUCUUCAAAACAGAAUCUUCCUGUUAUGCUUUCUUUAAAACUGAAAAACAAGAUGACAAAAAGAAAGAAUGUGGUAUUUCAAGGCAAGAUUUCACCUGAGGAAAAGGACUACAUGAAAUUGAUUACAAAUUCAACCUAUAUUUACUAUAAAACAAACAAUAUUUCCACUUCAAAUUCAAUUCAAGAAUCAAGAAGGACUUAUUUCAUCUUCACCAAAGGUUCAUCAGAGGUUUGUAAACCAUUUGGCAAGAUGUUAGUUGUGCCUUAUUCUAUUUGUUCAGUCUUAUUCAGUAAUAUAGUACCUGUCACAUAACUACAUGAAAAACUAACUAGGCAAACCUGGUGGGUGGAUUCUAUGAGAAGUGAUGUUGAUAGUAAAUUCUACAUUCUACAUUCCUUUUUAGAACAUUUGAUUAGUUGAUAUUAUAACAAUAUUGUAUAAUAAUUAAAAUAUCAAAAAUAUUUGAGUAGUAAUCACUAAGUGACCUCUUUGGAUCACAUGCCUUGUGGGAUUUAAAAAGUACAUAAUAUAAAAAAACAAAAAAUAAAAUAAAAAAAGCAAUAGGUUAAUAAUAAUGGUAAAUCAAAUUAUAUUUCUUGUUAGCCAAACCAGAUUAAAUUAGCUGAUACUUCUGUCUGUUAGCCACCUGAUAAACGUCACGUCCAUACGUAUGCGCAUGAGCAUGAGCAAGAGCAUGAGUAUGUGGAUGUGGAUGCCAUUUUGACUCCGCUCAGCAACGUGGACCGGUCUCGAUAACUUAGUUGCUGUCAAGAAACGGUUUUAUUUUUUUUAAAUAGUUAAACUGCCACAAUUGUAAGUUUGGUGGUUGCUAUGAAAAAACGAAAUACCAUGGGACACAGUUUGUACAUCAUCUCUGUGUUUCUGCUAUAUAUCACAGGUUCUUGCUCUUCUUCUGUGGGCAGAGUUGAGGGUUUUGUUGGAGGCUCUGCUGUCUUUUCUUGUUCUAUCCCUGAAACUGAGAUUAGGGACAACAUAAAAGAAUUCAACCUACAUAUGAGAGACAAUGAAGGAAAGAUUCUCUGUGACAUAAUUGGGGGCAACAGAAUAUGUCAAGAUCAAGCUCCAGAGUACAAGAACCGAACUGAAAUAUUGCCCACUGAUCAAAAGGAGGGUAACUUCACCAUCAAACUCAACUGGCUUAAAAAAAACGAUGCCAGGAAGUACACCUUCAUCUUCACAGGGCCAUUUCAAAAUGAAAUUUACUUCAAGCUUGAUGUCAAAGAUAUACCAGAAGGAAGAGGGAACCAUGGAGGACUACCUGGACAACUUCCAUCAAUUGUGUAUUUUUUAAGCAUUUUUUUCCCAUUUGGCUUUCUGAUUUUUAUGUUAAAUUUCUGUUUAGUUCUGUUAUAGUGUAGAGAUCAGAUCAAUUAGCCAAUAAUGGAAGUAUUUUUUACUCUGUUACAGCAUUUUUUCAAGUAUCUGUACUUUGAGUUAUUUACUACAUUCCAGAAAAUAAUGUGUUAAUCCUCUGUAUUUCAAAAUGAUCAGAACUGAUCUGGUAGCAUUACAGCUGACUUGAGUUUUAAAAAUGUCACUACCUCAUGUGACAUUUCACUAGUAUUUUGCUGCCCAGCCCUAUAUAUAUAUUUGUUAAGUUAUAAACUUAGAUUUCUUUUGCAAACUUGUGUUUUUUAUGAACCUUUGCGAUAUUUCAUUCCAGAUAUUUCAAUGGCACACAACUUGUAUUCAUCAGUGUUUGUAUUAAGUAUGAAACUAACAAUUUCAGAGUCAUUGUCAUUUCUGUCAAUGUCAUGUGUGCAAUUAAAACAGUGUAACAUCAAUCCUGCUAAUAAACUGAUUAAUACAUA